Molecule: ribosomal RNA, 261 nt
Filed under: uncultured bacterium
Lineage: Bacteria
Description: partial 16S ribosomal RNA
Rfam family: Bacterial small subunit ribosomal RNA
Source: RNAcentral
GUCCACGCCGUAAACGUUGGGCACUAGGUGUGGGUUCCAACCAACGGAAUCCGCGCCGUCGCUAACGCAUUAAGUGCCCAGCCUGGGGAGUACGAUCGCAAGAUUAAAACUCAAAGGAAUUGACGGGGCCCGCACAAGCAGCGGAGCGUGUUGCUUAAUUCGAUGCAACGCGAAGAACCUUACCUGGGCUUGACAUGUACGGAAAAGCCGUAGAGAUACGGUGUCCUUCGGGGCCGUACACAGGUGGUGCAUGGCUGUCGU